GACGAACGCUGGCGGCGUGCUUAACACAUGCAAGUGGAGCGACGAACCGGGCUUCGGCCUGGGGCAGAGCCGCGAACGGGUGAGUAACACGUGGGUAACGUGCCCCGAUGACUGGGACAACCCGGGGAAACCCGGGCUAAUACCGGAUAUGCCCCCCUCACGCGAGUGAGGUGUGUAAAGGAAGCUUCGGCCUCCGCAUCGGGAUCGGCCCGCGGCCCAUUAGCUUGUUGGUGAGGUAACGGCUCACCAAGGCUUCGAUGGGUAGCUGGUCUGAGAGGACGAUCAGCCACACUGGGACUGAGACACGGCCCAGACUCCUACGGGAGGCAGCAGUGGGGAAUCUUGCGCAAUGCGCGAAAGCGUGACGCAGCAACGCCGCGUGGGGAAGAAGGCCU
RNAcentral lists this ribosomal RNA (395 nucleotides) under uncultured bacterium. RNAcentral's name for it is "bacterial SSU rRNA". It matches the Rfam family "Bacterial small subunit ribosomal RNA", at positions 28 to 417 of the family's 1533-position model. The record is from RNAcentral.